Molecule: ribosomal RNA, 870 nt
Filed under: uncultured Bacteroidota bacterium
Lineage: Bacteria; Pseudomonadati; Bacteroidota
Description: bacterial SSU rRNA
Rfam family: Bacterial small subunit ribosomal RNA
Source: RNAcentral
GGAUCCAGACUUUGAUCCUGGCUCAGGAUGAACGCUAGCUACAGGCUUAACACAUGCAAGUCGAGGGGAAACGACAUCGAAGGCUUGCUUUUGAUGGGCGUCGACCGGCGCACGGGUGAGUAACGCGUAUCCAACCUGCCCACCACUUGGGGAUAACCUUGCGAAAGUAAGACUAAUACCCAAUGAUAUCUCUAGAAGACAUCUGAAAGAGAUUAAAGAUUUAUCGGUGAUGGAUGGGGAUGCGUCUGAUUAGCUUGUUGGCGGGGUAACGGCCCACCAAGGCAACGAUCAGUAGGGGUUCUGAGAGGAAGGUCCCCCACAUUGGAACUGAGACACGGUCCAAACUCCUACGGGAGGCAGCAGUGAGGAAUAUUGGUCAAUGGGCGAGAGCCUGAACCAGCCAAGUAGCGUGCAGGAUGACGGCCCUAUGGGUUGUAAACUGCUUUUAUAAGGGAAUAAAGUGAGUCUCGUGAGACUUUUUGCAUGUACCUUAUGAAUAAGGACCGGCUAAUUCCGUGCCAGCAGCCGCGGUAAUACGGAAGGUCCGGGCGUUAUCCGGAUUUAUUGGGUUUAAAGGGAGCGUAGGCCGGAGAUUAAGCGUGUUGUGAAAUGUAGACGCUCAACGUCUGCACUGCAGCGCGAACUGGUUUCCUUGAGUACGCACAAAGUGGGCGGAAUUCGUGGUGUAGCGGUGAAAUGCUUAGAUAUCACGAAGAACUCCGAUUGCGAAGGCAGCUCACUGGAGCGCAACUGACGCUGAAGCUCGAAAGUGCGGGUAUCGAACAGGAUUAGAUACCCUGGUAGUCCGCACGGUAAACGAUGGAUGCCCGCUGUUGGUCUGAAUAGGUCAGCGGCCAAGCGAAAGCAUUA